This 453-nucleotide ribosomal RNA is filed under the name uncultured organism. RNAcentral's name for it is "partial 16S ribosomal RNA". It matches the Rfam family "Bacterial small subunit ribosomal RNA", at positions 332 to 801 of the family's 1533-position model. The record is from RNAcentral.
UACACUCCUGCGGGAAGCAGCAGUGGGGAAUAUUGGACAAUGGGCGCAAGCCUGAUCCAGCCAUGUCGCGUGAGUGAUGAAGGCCCUAGGGUUGUAAAGCUCUUUCACCGGUGAAGAUAAUGACGGUAACCGGAGAAGAAGCCCCGGCUAACUUCGUGCCAGCAGCCGCGGUAAUACGAAGGGGGCUAGCGUUGUUCGGAUUUACUGGGCGUAAAGCGCACGUAGGCGGACUAUUAAGUCAGGGGUGAAAUCCCGGGGCUCAACCCCGGAACUGCCUUUGAUACUGGUAGUCUUGAGUUCGAGAGAGGUGAGUGGAAUUCCGAGUGUAGAGGUGAAAUUCGUAGAUAUUCGGAGGAACACCAGUGGCGAAGGCGGCUCACUGGCUCGAUACUGACGCUGAGGUGCGAAAGCGUGGGGAGCAAACAGGAUUAGAAACCCGUGUAGUCCCAUGAU